GGUCGACCUGAGGAGGGGGAGCAACGACCGUGUGUGUUUCAGAGCGGAAGGAUUUAAAUGCGGCAGUGACAGCACCAAGGCUGUGAUCAGUCCGGACGGUUGCUUCCUGGCAGCUGGCUCAGCAGACGGAGCAGUUUACAUCUGGAACGUCUCGACGGGCAACCUGGAGACACGCCUACCUGACCAACACAGCUCGUCCAUCAGUGCUGUGGCCUGGUCUCUGUCGGGUGAAUACGUCGUCAGUGUGGAUAGAAGUAGGCUGGCCAUCCUCUGGAGCGACAUCUGAAACGACCAAUCCAUAGAGAGGUCACGUUGUCACGGCAACACCCCACACAGCACGCCUCACUUUCAGACACAAACCGGUCUGAGAGCUGUCAAAGGGAACAGCUGGGUUUCGGUGUUUCUCAGCCUGUUUUUUAUUGGACAAGAGGGAUGUGAAACUUUCUGUUUGGUGCUUUUUUAAUCUUUUACAUUUUCUAACAGAACUGAGAAGAAUUCCUGAAACUUUUCUUCCAGCGUUCAGCUUUUGAACUGACAACAACGACAAACGGAAACCUGAAUCAAAAACCACUUUAACAUGCUUUUAUUGUUUGAAACUUCCCCCGGCACACUGACCUUGUUUGUAACCUUUAAUAUCAAAAACAUUUGUAAUAUUUACCAUCAGAGCCACCAUUAGACAGAUUGAACUAAACCUGACCUUCUUUUAAACGAGGUUAAACCUACAGACAUGAAAAGAAACCCACCACAGGUGGACCAGGUGGACAGGUGGUCUAGGAGCAAAGGAGUGAAACCUAACCAUGGUGUCAUCACAUUACUCAAACUUAGGACCAGACUUUAUGACCACGUGUUGGUCCGUCUAACCAGCGGAUGUGCAGGACGUAAACUCCCGUCAUGGAGACACUGGAGGAGGUCACUGCUGAGAUCAGAAGGAACAGAAUAUUAACAUCAAUAAUCAAAAGUUACAUCAGAUCAGACUGAACACACCGUCUGCUCCUUUUCCUCCAGGCACGGACGUAACGGUCGCUUUUCCUCGUCGACCUCUUAAACCAAACGGAUCCGUCGCAGAUAUUCUGACGGUGACACAUCAUACACAUGACUCUACACUGACCCUACUGGUCAGUUGUAGUUCAAGGCAAGUUUGACAUAUCAAACCCAAACGGAUCCAUAGAGAUCGUUAACGAAUAAGAAAAGUAAAGGUGCCAAGCGCACUGAUUUGUAUCAGUUUAUACAAAAAAUGGAAGGUUUGAUCUUUUCGUCCUUUUGAAACACUUUUUCUGCUUCAGCCUCAUCUUCUGUGUCUUUGUGGUCGUUAGCGUAA
Non-coding RNA from Labrus bergylta (ballan wrasse), 1318 nucleotides. The record is from RefSeq and is a predicted model, not a curated record. Lineage: Eukaryota; Metazoa; Chordata; Actinopteri; Labriformes; Labridae.